RNAcentral lists this transfer RNA (88 nucleotides) under Clostridiales bacterium. RNAcentral describes it as "tRNA-Leu". It matches the Rfam family "tRNA". Rfam says of the family: Transfer RNA (tRNA) molecules are approximately 80 nucleotides in length. Their secondary structure includes four short double-helical elements and three loops (D, anti-codon, and T loops). Further hydrogen bonds mediate the characteristic L-shaped molecular structure. tRNAs have two regions of fundamental functional importance: the anti-codon, which is responsible for specific mRNA codon recognition, and the 3' end, to which the tRNAs corresponding amino acid is attached (by aminoacyl-tRNA synthetases). tRNAs cope with the degeneracy of the genetic code in two manners: having more than one tRNA (with a specific anti-codon) for a particular amino acid; and 'wobble' base-pairing, i.e. permitting non-standard base-pairing at the 3rd anti-codon position. The record is from RNAcentral. Lineage: Bacteria; Bacillati; Bacillota; Clostridia; Eubacteriales.
GCCGGAGUGGCGGAAUGGCAGACGCAUGGGACUUAAAAUCCCCCGACCUUCACUGGUCGUACCGGUUCAAGUCCGGUCUUCGGCACCA